GAGGAAAGGGGCGGAGCAGAAGCGCGUGGCGGUUGCGUCUGACGCCAUGGCUUACGAAAAGGUGCCCGGGGUUGGGCAAUAGGUUGCGCAUGGGCAGUUGGAAGACGCACGAGAGAAUAGGCGGCUAGAUCGCAGGACUAUUGUGGUGGUGGGGAGGGCAGCGGUAAGGAGGAAAGAAGGAGCGCAUGCGCUGUUGGCUUCCUUGCGGUUAAAAAACAGGCCAUUAACCUUUGUACAAGACGCAUGCGCAAGGGGAGUGGCAGGCUAUUACAGGUCUACGAAUAGCAAGCUUUUUCGUAAAGAACGCUUCAGACGGGCGCAUGACAGUCAGGUUUCAUGAACGCAUGCGCAGAGAUGGGUGUGUGUGUUUUUUAACAGAAAGAAUUGUUUAGUUGGUAGGGAGAGGGAAGAACUGGUGGUUGUUUACUGUGCUGCUGGUAAAAAAGUAAACUAAAGGGGGGGGAUCUUACUCUCAAUAGUUUAGACUCUGACAUUGUUUCCACCAUUAAAAUGUAGAUCAUUUGUCCUUGUUGCUGUCAUGGUUAACCUUUUCAGCUAAGGUUGGCUAUCAAAAUGACUUUGCAGCAGUUAAAAUUCAGAAUAAAAGACUGUUAUGUUGAAAAUACCAUUUCUGGGAUAGCCCUACCCCACAAAGGUGCACUCCUUCAUUGUCUUCUGAGACAGACGGAUGCCAGGAUAGUGCAGUUGGUUAGAGUGUGCUGCUAAUAGCACCAAGGUUGCAGAUUGAGUCUCCAUAUGGGACAGGUGCAAAUUCCUCCUUGCAGGGGGUUGAACAGGGCAGGUCUGUGGUUGUUUCUGCCCCCCACCUCCAAUAUCAGCUCCAAAUCUUUCUGCCCUGAAGUAGGAAAUUCUGUGUAUCUGAAGUUUACCAUCACCAACAGAUGCUUGUGAUGGAAUCGUGACAUUAUGGCUGGAUGAGACACUGGAUGAACACCUGUUAAUUCAUUACAUUUGUAUCCCAAGAAUUCAAUAUGAUACAGUAAACAGAGAGCUCCCAUCUAGCCGCUGACCAAACCUUGAUCUGUUUGGCUUCAGCAUAAUUCUAGUUUCUUAAAAUAGAUGAGUUACCUCUUAUUUAUUUAUUUAUUUCAUAUCCUGCCUAUCUCCUAGGACAAGACCCAGUAUAGCUCACAACAUGAAUUUAAAAAACGUGAAAUUAUAAACUGGACAUAUUAAAGCUAAAAGCACACCAAUUAAUAUAAAUAUUUAAAAGCACACACAAAUAAGUUCUCUAUUAAAACAACACUGAAGUCAAACACCUAAAACCGUUUAAAAAUAAGCCAAAAAGGAAAUAUACAUCACCCACACUCAGAAUACUCUGCCACAAUAGCCUGUUAGUGGCCAUAGGCCUGUCCUAAACAAAAUAGUUGUUAGCUAGUGAAAGAAAAACGGGGGGCAGCCUAGCCGCUUGUGGAGAGGAGUUCCAUAAGCUGGGAGCAGUAGCUGAGAAGGCCCUUUCCCAUAUCCUUAACAAGUGUGCAUGUGAAGGUGACUGGACCGAGAGAGAGUCUCGCCCCAAAAAUCCCAGAGCCCAGGCAGGCUCAUAUAGGGAGAUACAAACUUUCAGAUUUGCAUGGCUCUUGUAAAGAGCAGUAGAAUUCCUGCCCACCCUUGUAGCGCAUGCUUAUGGGCAAGGUGGAGGUUAGCAUUCCUUUGUGAAUAAAGUGGGCAUGGUGCUUCUGGUUUCUUGGUGCAAAAACAGGAGGGGAUUGAACAGAAGCAGAUCCCCCAAAGUAGAGGGAAGAUUCUUGAGAUGUAUUAACACAGAAAGCCCAAAAUUCACAUCUGACUGGGAUGAGGGACAAAGAAAGCAGUGCUAGGAACACCCUGCCUAGAAAAGUCCACCUCACCCCUUUCCUUAUGUUCUUCUUUGGCAAUGCAGAAACUUUCCUUUCCAGCAUGGCUUUUGGCUUUUAAUGGUUGAGAAUCUUCACUGAAGACUUGCUGUGUUAAACUGCUAUUCUCAUUGUUUUCAUCUGCUGGGUUUCCACCUCUUUCUUAUCAACAAUGGCACUUUUCAGUGGUGUUUUUUAAUUUUUAAAAUGUAACUUUUUGUAUUUUUUAUACUGUUUGUAUAUUCCUUUCUUUUUCAGAUGCCUUGAUUUUUUUCCCCAAAGGGAGGGAUUUAAAUGUUUUAAAUAAAUAAAUGCAACAAU
Molecule: long non-coding RNA, 2177 nt
Organism: Podarcis raffonei (Aeolian wall lizard)
Lineage: Eukaryota; Metazoa; Chordata; Lepidosauria; Squamata; Lacertidae
Exons: 2
Source: RefSeq, a predicted model, not a curated record